This 87-nucleotide transfer RNA is filed under the name Roseovarius sp. JS7-11. RNAcentral's name for it is "tRNA-Leu". It matches the Rfam family "tRNA". From Rfam's summary of the family: Transfer RNA (tRNA) molecules are approximately 80 nucleotides in length. Their secondary structure includes four short double-helical elements and three loops (D, anti-codon, and T loops). Lineage: Bacteria; Pseudomonadati; Pseudomonadota; Alphaproteobacteria; Rhodobacterales; Roseobacteraceae. RNAcentral also lists the same sequence under 3 other names. The record is from RNAcentral.
GCGGGCGUGAUGGAAUGGUAGACAUAUCAGACUUAAAAUCUGAAGGGCCCUGUGCCCGUGUGGGUUCGAGUCCCACCGCCCGCACCA